CAAUCGAUUUUCCCUUCACAUCCCAACACUUUGCUAAACUUUCUCCCCUUUCCUCUUCCGCUUCCCCUCCCCUUGGGUUGCAAUGCAGUGCCAUUGCCAGGUACCCUCCUUUAUAUUCUCUCUAGUCUACCCAAUUUUAUCUAUUCGAUGAUUCUGAUUUUUGUUAUCUAUCUUUCUUUUUUUUCAAUCUCUUAGCAAAUUUGCGUGAUCGAUCCAAGAAUUAUUUAUCCUGUUUAAGCAGUACAACUAGUGAAGUAGAAAUUUGCAGAUUGCCCCUAUUAUCACCCUCAUUGAUAUGCAUUUCUUUUGAGUUGACCUCCGUUCUUGUUUUUAUUUUAAUCUUUUAAUUCUUUUUCUUGAUGUUCUCGUUUUACUGUAGUUGAUUUGGGUAAAUGUUAUGGUUAGGCUUGAGUGGUGUAAUCCCUACCCAGAAAUCAACAUUUCCUGUAGUCCUUAUAUAAUUGAAGAGUAGAAAGGAACGAACAGAGCAUCCUUGGUUUUAGUCUUACAGAUUCUUGUCAAAUGCCCAUUGACACGCUGCCAUCCAUAACCUAAAGUAUGAGAGCAAGUAGGUCUUCCUUUAGCACUAGCGAUGGGCAUGAAGAAGUUCAUUUUCACAGUGCUGCUUAUAUUUCAAAUUGGGACGAUUAUGAUAUAUGAGCAAAUAAACCUAUGAUAUUUUCUGACCAAUUGUGAUUGUAUAACAUUUUCAUGUGUGUUUUAUUGUGCACUAAUUGGCUUGUAAGAUUGGUUUAUAUGAUGCAAAGUAAUUGAACCUUUGUCUAUUCAGUUGAAGAAUAAUCUUUCACAAAGUGAUGUAUACAAGAUGGCUGAUUAGGUUGUGAAAAGUUAUAUCGACUUUGUUCACUUGUAAUCUUGGUUUACAUGUUCAUAGGUUAGAGAAUUUGUAUUCUGAAGCAUAGGGUUUUGUGAGGAGUAAUGUAAUUUUGUUACAGGCUUUAUUAAUAUAGAUGUAAUGUAAUUCAGCUGAUGCCAAAGAAGAUGGUUCAAAUUUGAGCUGGUUUUGCAUCUUCAUUUUAAUUCUGUUGGCAAUAAUAGAUGGUCCCGUUUACCCAUUUUCAAAUAGAAUGGAAGGUUAUUUGACCCUUUUUCAAAAAAAAUUAUUUUUUCUCUAAUUGAUAUGGAAUCUUUUACUGUGCAUUUUUCGAAUGAAGAACAAGCAGAGCCAUUACCAAAGAAGCAUAGGAAAUACUAAGGCCAUUGAAGUUGGGAUUUUAAGUAUGCCAUCUUUCAUUGGUCACUUACAGCAAGAUGAUGAUGCUAAUAUGGAAAUGCUCCUUUGCUUGUUGAUACAACCUGUGUAUUAAUGGAUUUUUGUAAAUUUUUUCCCUUUUCCUUGUGCAAGUGCCUUGUGUAACAUGUUUAUAUUUAUGUAUGUAUAUGUACAUGUAAAAAAAAAUUGUGAAUUCCGUCAUAAUGUUGUAGUUUGAUUUACACAUUUUGUUUAGUGAAUUUAGCUAAACAAUUAAAUGAAAAGAAAGUCAAAUAUAUGUUUGUUUCAUUUAAAAUAACUUUUUUGAAAUAUUUUCAAGAAAGUGAAUUUAGCUAAACAAUUAAAAGACAAGAAAAAUUCAAAUGUAUGUUUGUUUCGUUUAUAAUAGCUUUUUUGAAAUAUUUCCAGAGAAUCUACCAAACAACAGAAAAUAUUAGUUUUUUUCCAGAAAAGUAAGUCAUUUUCCAAAAAUCAUUUUCCGGAAGCCAUUUUCAAUCAAACAAACGAAGCCUUAGUAUUAUUUCUGUCAUUUGUUUUUUGUGUUUCUUGAGUAUUAGUUAUUUUCUUAUUAGACAUGGUUAGUUUUUAUUUCACUUUAUUUUUAGUAUCAAGUUAUCAUUGUUUUUAUCAUGUUACUUGUUGGUGAAUUUAUUCUUGGGUUAGUUGCUCAAUAUUGUGGUUUAGGUUUUCACUUUGUAUCGGUCUCUGUCAUCUAUUGGACUUAUUGUUUAUUUUUUAUUUUGUUUUUACUUUUUUACUUUUCUUUUAGCAGUUAUUCAAUUAUUUUGCCGAUCAAUGUUCAAUCUUAUAAUUUCAUUUUAGUUUGAUUCAAUUUUCGAUUUGAUUAAGUUUUAUGAUGUUUAGUUGUGUUUUGACUUAGUUCUUAUGCUGACAUUUAGCUAUUAUUUAUUCUUUUUAGGCAUUAUGAUGAACACUAGGAGCAAGUCCAAGGUCGUCGUUUCCACUUCAAAAAAGCGGAAGACUCCAGCACGACAUCAUCAUCGAGUGCUUUCGUUGAUGCCCGUCACCCCUAUCUCUAAUUUCCACAAGGUCCCGAGGAGGAUUUAUAUCAGCAUCUUCGACUGAGGCCAUUCGGAUUAGGUCGUUGUAUUGAUUGGGCUGCUUUAGAUCAUAUACAGUUAGCAAAUCAUGUCAGCUCCAUCAUUGCUACACCUCCUUAAGACUGGUUUUUUUCCAUUAUCGAGCCCACAUACUCGGAGCUGACUUUAGAGUUUUGCUUGGCAUUUAUCGUACAGCAGGUGAUGACGACCAAUGACGAGCUGAGAACCAUUACCUUUAGACUCGGAGGUAUGGCACGACAUAUGAGUGUCCCAGAGUUCGGAGUUGCAUUGGGACUUUACACUGCAGAGAUUAUGAGUGCCGAGGGGUUCCUUCUAUUAUACUAGCACAUCCACUACUCGUCAUCUCUUUGCUGCGUAGAUCUUACGGUGAGCAUGACGUCUUAUGACCCGAGUCGGUCAAAGGAAACUUCUCUUCCUCUGGCCUUACGCUACAUUCAUACCAUCUUGGCUCAUACAAUGAUCGGUAGAAGGGAGAGCACUGGAGUCAUCGGUACAACCGAUGCAUUUUUUGUGGAGACUGGCCACGGGACGCACCUUUGAUCUCGCCUAUUUUAUCGCCGUCGUUGUUCGUCAUCAGACAGAGCGCAAUAGGAGGGGACCCAUAUAUUUUAAAAUCAAAAUACCCAUUAAUUAAUCACAAACCAAACCAUUACCACCCUUAGAAACUUUUAUAUUUCAAUUAU
RNAcentral lists this long non-coding RNA (2999 nucleotides) under Gossypium barbadense (sea-island cotton). RNAcentral describes it as "long non-coding RNA (GBAR_LNC019230)". Lineage: Eukaryota; Viridiplantae; Streptophyta; Magnoliopsida; Malvales; Malvaceae. The record is from RNAcentral.